Molecule: long non-coding RNA, 583 nt
Filed under: Anolis carolinensis (green anole)
Lineage: Eukaryota; Metazoa; Chordata; Lepidosauria; Squamata; Anolidae
Description: lncRNA (ENSACAG00000040552.1)
Source: RNAcentral
UACUCCACAGGGAAUUUGGCAAAAUGAAGACUGCUGUAGUAUGCUGGAGCCUUUUCAGCAUUACCUUUGCUUUUCCAGUAAGUACUUGCAUAGGUAAUAUAUAACCCAAAUAUAGGACAUUUGUCUUAAUGUGUUGAUAGCAAGUUGUAAAUCUUUCUCACCAUUUCUUUCCCAUUUUUUCUUUUCACUAGAUUGCUCAACCACCACCUGCUGGUGCUUUGAAGAAACUAGAAAUAGAGAAGGAAUUUUAUUCUUCCGAUGGAAAUGAUGACAAGGCACAGAAGGAGGAUCCUCAUCUCGUGAGCAGUGAUGCCAAGGCACGAGAGGUAAGAAUAUCCUUGAGUGCAUUUAGAACUUUAAAAGGUGUUUAAUUUAUCAUAUAGUUUAAUAAUUUUGUAAAUAACACAAUAAUUGAUACUAAAGACGCAGUGUUUCUAAUAGAGUCGAUUCUUGCAUUUGCUAGGGAGGAUGUAUUUGUUUCUUUAGUUGUUAUCCCACCUCUCUCCCAGUAAGAAACUAAACGAAAAUUCACAACCAUUAUGUAAACUGGUAUAUAAAGGGUUUUUUUUGCUGUCGUUGUGUG